Long non-coding RNA from Neopelma chrysocephalum (saffron-crested tyrant-manakin), 95 nucleotides. RefSeq lists it as uncharacterized. The record is from RefSeq and is a predicted model, not a curated record. Lineage: Eukaryota; Metazoa; Chordata; Aves; Passeriformes; Pipridae. The transcript is spliced from 3 exons.
UACAGAGGUUCUGAGGCCAAUUACACCCCUAUGGAGAAGGAAAUCUUAGCAGCGUACGAAGGCAUAGGAGCAGCUUCAGAGCUUUGAGAUUCAGC